This 496-nucleotide ribosomal RNA is filed under the name uncultured Salinibacterium sp. RNAcentral describes it as "bacterial SSU rRNA". It matches the Rfam family "Bacterial small subunit ribosomal RNA", at positions 72 to 580 of the family's 1533-position model. The record is from RNAcentral. Lineage: Bacteria; Bacillati; Actinomycetota; Actinomycetes; Micrococcales; Microbacteriaceae.
GUGGGAGCUUGCUCCUACUGGAUUAGUGGCGAACGGGUGAGUAACACGUGAGCAAUCUGCCCCUGACUCUGGGAUAAGCGUUGGAAACGACGUCUAAUACCGGAUACGAGCUGGGACCGCAUGGUCACCAGCUGGAAAGAACUUUGGUCAGGGAUGAGCUCGCGGCCUAUCAGCUUGUUGGUGAGGUAAUGGCUCACCAAGGCGACGACGGGUAGCCGGCCUGAGAGGGUGACCGGCCACACUGGGACUGAGACACGGCCCAGACUCCUACGGGAGGCAGCAGUGGGGAAUAUUGCACAAUGGGCGCAAGCCUGAUGCAGCAACGCCGCGUGAGGGACGAAGGCCUUCGGGUUGUAAACCUCUUUUAGCAGGGAAGAAGCGAAAGUGACGGUACCUGCAGAAAAAGCGCCGGCUAACUACGUGCCAGCAGCCGCGGUAAUACGUAGGGCGCAAGCGUUGUCCGGAAUUAUUGGGCGUAAAGAGCUCGUAGGCGGUU